GAUGAACGCUGGCGGCGUGCCUAACACAUGCAAGUCGAACGAAGCACCUUGCCUGAUUCUUCGGAUGAAGGUCUGGUGACUGAGUGGCGGACGGGUGAGUAACGCGUGGGUAACCUGCCCUGUACAGGGGGAUAACAGUUGGAAACGGCUGCUAAUACCGCAUAAGCGCACGAGAGGACAUCCUCUUGUGUGAAAAACUCCGGUGGUACAGGAUGGGCCCGCGUCUGAUUAGCUGGUUGGCAGGGUAACGGCCUACCAAGGCGACGAUCAGUAGCCGGUCUGAGAGGAUGAACGGCCACAUUGGAACUGAGACACGGUCCAAACUCCUACGGGAGGCAGCAGUGGGGAAUAUUGCACAAUGGGGGAAACCCUGAUGCAGCAACGCCGCAUGAGUGAAGAAGUAUUUCGGUAUGUAAAGCUCUAUCAGCAGGGAAGAUAAUGACGGUACCUGACUAAGAAGCUCCGGCUAAAUACGUGCCAGCCGCCGCAGUAA
This 493-nucleotide ribosomal RNA is filed under the name uncultured bacterium. Its description in RNAcentral is "partial 16S ribosomal RNA". It matches the Rfam family "Bacterial small subunit ribosomal RNA", at positions 28 to 523 of the family's 1533-position model. The record is from RNAcentral.